Small nucleolar RNA from Anopheles moucheti, 75 nucleotides. Lineage: Eukaryota; Metazoa; Arthropoda; Insecta; Diptera; Culicidae. The record is from RefSeq and is a predicted model, not a curated record.
UGAAUAUGAUGAAACUUUUCAUCAGUUCUGCUUAUGAAGAAUUGUGAUUAUACCCAAUACCAAAACAUCUGAUUG